This 482-nucleotide ribosomal RNA is filed under the name uncultured bacterium. Its description in RNAcentral is "partial 16S ribosomal RNA". It matches the Rfam family "Bacterial small subunit ribosomal RNA", at positions 29 to 507 of the family's 1533-position model. The record is from RNAcentral.
AUUGAACGCUGGCGGCAUGCCUUACACAUGCAAGUCGAACGGUAACGCGGGGCAACCUGGCGACGAGUGGCGAACGGGUGAGUAAUGCAUCGGAACGUGCCCAGAAGUGGGGGAUAGCCCGGCGAAAGCCGGAUUAAUACCGCAUGAGACCUGAGGGUGAAAGCGGGGGAUCGCAAGACCUCGCGCUUUUGGAGCGGCCGAUGUCAGAUUAGCUAGUUGGUGGGGUAAAGGCCUACCAAGGCGACGAUCUGUAGCUGGUCUGAGAGGGCGACCAGCCACACUGGGACUGAGACACGGCCCAGACUCCUACGGGAGGCAGCAGUGGGGAAUUUUGGACAAUGGGCGCAAGCCUGAUCCAGCCAUGCCGCGUGCGGGAAGAAGGCCUUCGGGUUGUAAACCGCUUUUGUCAGGGAAGAAACGCUCUGGGCUAAUACCCUGGGGUAAUGACGGUACCUGAAGAAUAAGCACCGGCUAACUACGUG